Long non-coding RNA from Bombus terrestris (buff-tailed bumblebee), 2368 nucleotides. RefSeq lists it as uncharacterized. The transcript is spliced from 3 exons. The record is from RefSeq and is a predicted model, not a curated record. NCBI's taxonomy places the organism in Eukaryota, Metazoa, Arthropoda, Insecta, Hymenoptera, Apidae.
AGGAAUAUAGAAAAGCGGAGAAACACGGGGCAACUACACGUGACGAAGAAUGAUAGAUAUAGUUAGGUUAUCACUCGCUAACUGUAACCGAAUUUCACGUAUUCCCGACGCGCUCCCAAGAAACAGACGAAGAAGAAAGAUUUAAUCGAGAGAAGAAAUAUUUAAUUGCAAAGAAAUAUGAAAACUCGUAGGAACUACGUACAACGAAGAAACGUGAAUUUUACAGAUAAAUCGAGAUCCAGAGGAAUAACACGCCGUACGAGAAAAAGAUACAGAGAUAUAGAGAAUGAAAACACCACACGAUGAAGAAACGUGGAUUUUAAGGAGGAUAUGGUAUAUGGUUAGAACUAUGACUAAGAGAAACGCGGUUGCAAGCGAGAGUGCAGGUGCGUACACCGGCGACACUGAAUGCCGGAAUAUCAACGGGAACAUGCUGUUUCAUGCACGAACCGGCACGAUGGUGCUCGUCACACGUAGCGACGUGGAUUUUUGUGAGUGCUACACAUGCACGAAGAGACAAGAGCGAACGGAUCGAGGGAAAAUGGAACGAGGGAAUGCAAUUUGAGACUGUUAAAAUGUCAGCGAUUUUUGCGACUGGACAGGAAAUGUUUAUUAACGGCCGUUGCCGGCACCACGUUUUACGCAGUCGGAUUUCGUUUCGCUGAAAUACGGCUGUUUGGAAAACCGAUAAUGCGUGUAAAAAUGUUCGUGUCACCGAGAGGUGGUGCGAAAGAAGCUGCCGGCAUUCGAUACGGGCGUAGUGUGUGACACGCCAGCUCUGGCUUACGAAUGGCAAGUCACCGUUGAGUCUCACUAACGAACAGUUAAUUUCGCCUAGUAUCACGCUCUUUCCUUUGUUCAACGUGACAGAGUCAGUUCGUAGUAGCGCGAGCAAUUUUAUAAUACGUUUUUGUGCUACUUGAUCGAAACGAUGUCCAAUCAAUACUCCAGUCAAAGGGCAGAGUAGCUCCUGACCAUUUCCGCAAGUGGUGAUACUAUAAGAAAGCAAACUUGACGAUAAGAAGAAACGUAAUAUUAGAUCGUCUAUGCAACGUAUUCGAUAGAUGAAACUAAGUGAAAAUUGUUUAAAAGCAAUAGGAUACUACAGAAAACCAGCAUGAUCGCAUGAAAUGGUUAAAUCUAUUCUGAUACUUUUAUUAGUGUGAAACGUAAUUUUGCAGAACACAUCAAAACAUUUUCACGAAAAAGCAGAAUAUUGUAAAAGUCGUACACGAUCAUAAAAAACGCCUGUCGUGAUAAAUGCGUAAAUAUUGAAUAAUACAGCAGACAUACGUACUACAUGAAAACGAAACCAAAUCACAGGGACACUAUACUACCACAUAGUCAGUCCGGCUCUGUUACCAUCGAUAUACCAUAGCUCUUUCCGUAUCAUCGGACAGUAAAAACGUAUCAGCACGCUCUAUUUGUUUGUUCGUUUCAGUCAAGUAUUUGUAUCCAUAUCUCGCCUUGAGACGAGAGUAGACGUUCUUAAAUCAUUCGAGGGCGAGACACGAUCGCGAUGCAUUAAUCUAAAAAACUGAUGAACCACGAUACAACAGUAUCUGGCUUUCUCCUCCCAUUUCUCCUCCUGUGAACUUUGCGAUAGAAACAAAAGGAUUAACCUCGACCGAUAGAAUCGUCCGGGGUAAUUGCUCGUUGGAGCGACAAAAUGUUAGCUAGAAACACGAAUACUUCUAUCGAUGGAGAAGAGAACGCUGGAACAGUUGACCUGUUUCGAGUAGUUGCUCUGUAUACGAUACACGACACACACGCGUCGCCCAUUGUACGGUUAGCGAGCGCGAAUACAUUAUUACUUGCUAUUAUCGCCGUUACCGAAUGUUUCACAUUGUUUUCCAUUCUUCAACGAUUUCUCAACAUCGUUCGAAUGCAGUCGAGGUGGAAAAAUAUUCAGUCGAGAACGUUUUACGGUUUCUACAAAUUUAUUAGCGAGGCUUUAUUAUCUUUCGUUUGACAAAUUGCGUUGAUAAGUGCACUUCGCAGCGUGGCUCGAACAAUUCUCUUGAUUCUUUGAAAGGUUUACGAUACCUCCAUCGCGCCUUGAUUUUCUCGAACGUGUAUACAUUUUUAUAUUUUACGUCCAAUAGUUUACGAUCUGCGUUCUGCUGUUCUUAUCAUCUGGGUUAUUCAGCGACCAAUAUUUCUGGUAACAAUGAAAUGCUUCUUACGAGAUUUUGUAUAUUAUUGUUAUUUGAUAAUUGUAUUAUUUCUUUUUUUUUUUGGUCAUCCUUAUGAUAUAUAAACUUUGUGAAAAUGAAACAGCUUUGUGAAACAGCCAAGAUUUCUAUCACCAGGUUUUUGUCAAUUAAUUUAUACAUAGUAUUAAUUUAUAUAUAUAGAUCUGGCUCUC